AGUGAACGCUGGCGGCAGGCCUAAUACAUGCAAGUCGAACGGCAGCACAGCAGAGCUUGCUCUGUGGGUGGCGAGUGGCGGACGGGUGAGGAAUACAUGGGAAUCUGCCCAGUCGUGGGGGAUAACGUAUGGAAACGUACGCUAAUACCGCAUGCGCCCUACGGGGGAAAGUCGGGGACCGCAAGGCCUGACGCGAUUGGAUGAGCCCAUGUUCGAUUAGCUAGUUGGCGGGGUAAAGGCCCACCAAGGCGACGAUCGAUAGCUGGUCUGAGAGGAUGAUCAGCCACACUGGAACUGAGACACGGUCCAGACUCCUACGGGAGGCAGCAGUAGGGAAUAUUGGACAAUGGGGGCAACCCUGAUCCAGCCAUGCCGCGUGAGUGAAGAAGGCCCUCGGGUUGUAAAGCUCUUUUGUCCGGAAAGAAAAGCAAUCGGUUAAUACCCGGUUGUUCUGACGGUACCGGAAGAAUAAGCACCGG
RNAcentral lists this ribosomal RNA (479 nucleotides) under uncultured bacterium. RNAcentral describes it as "bacterial SSU rRNA". It matches the Rfam family "Bacterial small subunit ribosomal RNA", at positions 29 to 496 of the family's 1533-position model. The record is from RNAcentral.